GCUCAAAUUUGAAAUCUCACAGGUUUUCCUGUGCGAAUUGUAGUUUAUAGAAACGUCUUCGGGGGUGGCUUGGGCAUAAGUCCUUUGGAACGAGGCAUCAUAGAGGGUGAGAAUCCCGUCUUUGGUCCAAAGUCCGCUCCUAUGUGAUGCGUUUUCUAAGAGUCGGUUUGUUUGGGAAUGCAGACCAAAACGGGUGGUAAAUACCAUCUAAAGCUAAAUAUUGGCGAGAGACCGAUAGCGAACAAGUACCGUGAGGGAAAGAUGAAAAGAACUUUGAAAAGAGAGUUAAACAGUACGUGAAAUUGUCAAAAGGGAAACGCUUGAAACCAGUGUUGCUUGCGAGUAAUCAGCCGCAUCUUUUGGUGAGGUGCACUUGCUCGUUGGCAGGUCAACAUCAGUUUGAUCCGGGAUAAAAAGCCAGGAGAAGGUAGCCCCUCGGGGUGUUAUAGCUUUUGGUUCUGUCUUGGGUUGGACUGAGGACUGCAGCGUUAUUUGGGUUACCGGUCGCCUUUCGAACGUGUUCUGCAGACAGCACGCUGACUGUAGAGCUCUGUAGGAAGCUCGGUCGGGAUUCCACACCAACGCUUAGGAUGUUGACGAAAUGGUUUUAAACGACCCGUCUUGAAACACGGACCAAGGAGUCUAACAUAUAUGCGAGUAUUUGGGUGGCAAACCCUUAUGCGUAAUGAAAGUGAACUUAGGUGGGAUCUUCGGUGCACCAUCGACCGGUCUGGAUUUUUUUGAUAGAUCUGAGUAAGAGCAUAUCUGUUGGGACCCGAAAGAUGGUGAACUAUGCCUGAAUAGGGUGAAGCCAGAGGAAACUCUGGUGGAGGCUCGUAGCGAUUCUGACGUGCAAAUCGAUCGUCAAAUUUGGGU
Molecule: ribosomal RNA, 876 nt
Filed under: Sonoraphlyctis sp. PL AUS 033
Lineage: Eukaryota; Fungi; Chytridiomycota; Chytridiomycetes; Rhizophlyctidales; Sonoraphlyctidaceae
Description: eukaryotic LSU rRNA
Rfam family: Eukaryotic large subunit ribosomal RNA
Source: RNAcentral